RNAcentral lists this long non-coding RNA (215 nucleotides) under Phoenix dactylifera (date palm). Its description in RNAcentral is "long non-coding RNA (PDAC_LNC012030)". The record is from RNAcentral. Lineage: Eukaryota; Viridiplantae; Streptophyta; Magnoliopsida; Arecales; Arecaceae.
AGUAGGGUAUGCGCUUACAUGGAAUCUAUCGACCUUGAUAGAAGAGGAGUGAUCCUAUGUGAUUUGUUAGACUGAGUUCUAAGACCUUGGCCAGGGCAGUAAUAUAAAGUGGAGAAAGAGUUUUCCACUAUCGAACUCGAGUCAAAUAAAUCUUGACAUAUGACAGACGAAGGGGUUUGACGAGUUAUCCAUGACCUCCGUCCUGUAGGGAUCCA